This 496-nucleotide ribosomal RNA is filed under the name uncultured bacterium. RNAcentral's name for it is "partial 16S ribosomal RNA". It matches the Rfam family "Bacterial small subunit ribosomal RNA", at positions 30 to 523 of the family's 1533-position model. The record is from RNAcentral.
AUUGAACGCUGGCGGAAUGCUUUACACAUGCAAGUCGAACGGUAGAGGGGGCAACCCCUCGAGAGUGGCGAACGGGUGAGUAAUAUAUCGGAACGUGCCCAGUCGUGGGGGAUAACGUAGCGAAAGUUACGCUAAUACCGCAUACGAUCUAAGGAUGAAAGCGGGGGAUCGCAAGACCUCGCGCGAUUGGAGCGGCCGAUAUCAGAUUAGGAAGUUGGUGGGGUAAAGGCUCACCAAGCCAACGAUCUGUAGCUGGGCUGAGAGGACGACCAGCCACAAUGGAACUGGGACACGGUCCAGACUCCUACGGGAGGCAGCAGUGGGGAAUUUUGGACAAUGGACGCAAGUCUGAUCCAGCCAUUCCGCGUGCAGGAUGAAGGCCCUCGGGUUGUAAACUGCUUUUGUACGGAACGAAAAGGUCUCUCUUAAUACGGGGGGCUCAUGACGGUACCGUAAGAAUAAGCACCGGCUAACUACGUGCCAGCCGCCGCGGUAA